RNAcentral lists this ribosomal RNA (468 nucleotides) under uncultured bacterium. Its description in RNAcentral is "partial 16S ribosomal RNA". It matches the Rfam family "Bacterial small subunit ribosomal RNA", at positions 28 to 507 of the family's 1533-position model. The record is from RNAcentral.
GACGAACGCUGGCGGCGUGCUUAACACAUGCAAGUCGAACGGAAAGGCCCUGCUUUUGUGGGGUGCUCGAGUGGCGAACGGGUGAGUAACGCGUGAGAAACCUGCCCUUGACUUUGGGAUAACUUCAGGAAACUGGGGCUAAUACCGGAUAGGAGCUCCUGCUGCAUGGUGGGGGUUGGAAAGUUUCGGCGGUUGGGGAUGGACUCGCGGCUUAUCAGCUUGUUGGUGGGGUAGUGGCUUACCAAGGCUUUGACGGGUAGCCGGCCUGAGAGGGUGACCGGCCACAUUGGGACUGAGAUACGGCCCAGACUCCUACGGGAGGCAGCAGUGGGGAAUAUUGCACAAUGGGCGGAAGCCUGAUGCAGCAACGCCGCGUGCGGGAUGACGGCCUUCGGGUUGUAAACCGCUUUCGCCUGUGACGAAGCGUGAGUGACGGUAAUGGGUAAAGAAGCACCGGCUAACUACGUG